CUACGGGUCGCAGCAGUGAGGAAUAUUGCACAAUGGGGGGAACCCUGAUGCAGCAACGCCGCGUGGAGGAUGACGCAUUUCGGUGUGUAAACUCCUUUUAUAUGUCAAGAAAAUGACGGUAGCAUAUGAAUAAGCACCGGCUAACUCCGUGCCAGCAGCCGCGGUAAGUACGGAGGGUGCAAGCGUUACUCGGAAUCACUGGGCGUAAAGGACGCGUAGGCGGGUUGGAAAGUCAGGUGUGAAAUCCUACAGCUUAACUGUAGAACUGCACUUGAAACUUCUAAUCUAGAGUAUGGGAGGGGGAGAUGGAAUUAGUGGUGUAGGGGUAAAAUCCGUAGAUAUCACUAGGAAUACCUAAAGCGAAGGCGAUCUCCUGGAACAUUACUGACGCUAAGGCGUGAAAGCGUGGGGAGCAAACAGGAUUAGAUACCCGGGUAGUC
RNAcentral lists this ribosomal RNA (440 nucleotides) under uncultured bacterium. RNAcentral's name for it is "partial 16S ribosomal RNA". It matches the Rfam family "Bacterial small subunit ribosomal RNA", at positions 339 to 795 of the family's 1533-position model. The record is from RNAcentral.